Molecule: ribosomal RNA, 270 nt
Filed under: uncultured bacterium
Lineage: Bacteria
Description: partial 16S ribosomal RNA
Rfam family: Bacterial small subunit ribosomal RNA
Source: RNAcentral
GUCCACGCCGUAAACGAUGAGUGCUAGAUGUCGCGGGUAUUGACCCCUGCGGCGUCGAAGUUAAACGCAUUAAGCACUCCGCCUGGGGAGGUACGGCCGCAAGGCUAAAACUACAAAGGAAUUGACGGGGGCCCGGCACAAGCGGUGGAGCAUGUGGUUCAAUUCGACGCAACGCGAAGAACCUUACCUGGGUUAAAUCCACCGGAACCCCGUACGAGAUAUGGGGUGGCUCGCAAGAGAGCCGGUGAGAAGGUGCUGCAUGGCUGUCGU